This 2543-nucleotide ribosomal RNA is filed under the name Escherichia coli. RNAcentral describes it as "partial 23S ribosomal RNA". It matches the Rfam family "Bacterial large subunit ribosomal RNA", at positions 418 to 2925 of the family's 2925-position model. The record is from RNAcentral. Lineage: Bacteria; Pseudomonadati; Pseudomonadota; Gammaproteobacteria; Enterobacterales; Enterobacteriaceae.
CGGGACACGUGGUAUCCUGUCUGAAUAUGGGGGGACCAUCCUCCAAGGCUAAAUACUCCUGACUGACCGAUAGUGAACCAGUACCGUGAGGGAAAGGCGAAAAGAACCCCGGCGAGGGGAGUGAAAAAGAACCUGAAACCGUGUACGUACAAGCAGUGGGAGCACGCUUAGGCGUGUGACUGCGUACCUUUUGUAUAAUGGGUCAGCGACUUAUAUUCUGUAGCAAGGUUAACCGAAUAGGGGAGCCGAAGGGAAACCGAGUCUUAACUGGGCGUUAAGUUGCAGGGUAUAGACCCGAAACCCGGUGAUCUAGCCAUGGGCAGGUUGAAGGUUGGGUAACACUAACUGGAGGACCGAACCGACUAAUGUUGAAAAAUUAGCGGAUGACUUGUGGCUGGGGGUGAAAGGCCAAUCAAACCGGGAGAUAGCUGGUUCUCCCCGAAAGCUAUUUAGGUAGCGCCUCGUGAAUUCAUCUCCGGGGGUAGAGCACUGUUUCGGCAAGGGGGUCAUCCCGACUUACCAACCCGAUGCAAACUGCGAAUACCGGAGAAUGUUAUCACGGGAGACACACGGCGGGUGCUAACGUCCGUCGUGAAGAGGGAAACAACCCAGACCGCCAGCUAAGGUCCCAAAGUCAUGGUUAAGUGGGAAACGAUGUGGGAAGGCCCAGACAGCCAGGAUGUUGGCUUAGAAGCAGCCAUCAUUUAAAGAAAGCGUAAUAGCUCACUGGUCGAGUCGGCCUGCGCGGAAGAUGUAACGGGGCUAAACCAUGCACCGAAGCUGCGGCAGCGACACUGUGUGUUGUUGGGUAGGGGAGCGUUCUGUAAGCCUGCGAAGGUGUGCUGUGAGGCAUGCUGGAGGUAUCAGAAGUGCGAAUGCUGACAUAAGUAACGAUAAAGCGGGUGAAAAGCCCGCUCGCCGGAAGACCAAGGGUUCCUGUCCAACGUUAAUCGGGGCAGGGUGAGUCGACCCCUAAGGCGAGGCCGAAAGGCGUAGUCGAUGGGAAACAGGUUAAUAUUCCUGUACUUGGUGUUACUGCGAAGGGGGGACGGAGAAGGCUAUGUUGGCCGGGCGACGGUUGUCCCGGUUUAAGCGUGUAGGCUGGUUUUCCAGGCAAAUCCGGAAAAUCAAGGCUGAGGCGUGAUGACGAGGCACUACGGUGCUGAAGCAACAAAUGCCCUGCUUCCAGGAAAAGCCUCUAAGCAUCAGGUAACAUCAAAUCGUACCCCAAACCGACACAGGUGGUCAGGUAGAGAAUACCAAGGCGCUUGAGAGAACUCGGGUGAAGGAACUAGGCAAAAUGGUGCCGUAACUUCGGGAGAAGGCACGCUGAUAUGUAGGUGAAGUCCCUCGCGGAUGGAGCUGAAAUCAGUCGAAGAUACCAGCUGGCUGCAACUGUUUAUUAAAAACACAGCACUGUGCAAACACGAAAGUGGACGUAUACGGUGUGACGCCUGCCCGGUGCCGGAAGGUUAAUUGAUGGGGUCAGCGCAAGCGAAGCUCUUGAUCGAAGCCCCGGUAAACGGCGGCCGUAACUAUAACGGUCCUAAGGUAGCGAAAUUCCUUGUCGGGUAAGUUCCGACCUGCACGAAUGGCGUAAUGAUGGCCAGGCUGUCUCCACCCGAGACUCAGUGAAAUUGAACUCGCUGUGAAGAUGCAGUGUACCCGCGGCAAGACGGAAAGACCCCGUGAACCUUUACUAUAGCUUGACACUGAACAUUGAGCCUUGAUGUGUAGGAUAGGUGGGAGGCUUUGAAGUGUGGACGCCAGUCUGCAUGGAGCCGGCCUUGAAAUACCACCCUUUAAUGUUUGAUGUUCUAACGUUGACCCGUGAUCCGGGUUGCGGACAGUGUCUGGUGGGUAGUUUGACUGGGGCGGUCUCCUCCUAAAGAGUAACGGAGGAGCACGAAGGUUGGCUAAUCCUGGUCGGACAUCAGGAGGUUAGUGCAAUGGCAUAAGCCAGCUUGACUGCGAGCGUGACGGCGCGAGCAGGUGCGAAAGCAGGUCAUAGUGAUCCGGUGGUUCUGAAUGGAAGGGCCAUCGCUCAACGGAUAAAAGGUACUCCGGGGAUAACAGGCUGAUACCGCCCAAGAGUUCAUAUCGACGGCGGUGUUUGGCACCUCGAUGUCGGCUCAUCACAUCCUGGGGCUGAAGUAGGUCCCAAGGGUAUGGCUGUUCGCCAUUUAAAGUGGUACGCGAGCUGGGUUUAGAACGUCGUGAGACAGUUCGGUCCCUAUCUGCCGUGGGCGCUGGAGAACUGAGGGGGGCUGCUCCUAGUACGAGAGGACCGGAGUGGACGCAUCACUGGUGUUCGGGUUGUCAUGCCAAUGGCACUGCCCGGUAGCUAAAUGCGGAAGAGAUAAGUGCUGAAAGCAUCUAAGCACGAAACUUGCCCCGAGAUGAGUUCUCCCUGACUCCUUGAGAGUCCUGAAGGAACGUUGAAGACGACGACGUUGAUAGGCCGGGUGUGUAAGCGCAGCGAUGCGUUGAGCUAACCGGUACUAAUGAACCGUGAGGCUUAACCUUACAACGCCGAAGCUGUU